This 416-nucleotide long non-coding RNA is filed under the name Chinchilla lanigera (long-tailed chinchilla). RNAcentral describes it as "lncRNA (ENSCLAG00000028983.1)". Lineage: Eukaryota; Metazoa; Chordata; Mammalia; Rodentia; Chinchillidae. The record is from RNAcentral.
GUGCCUCCUCCCUCAGGCUGAUGUCGCAGUGGCACCAUCUUCAAGCUAGUGCACAGGGACUUCCAGUGCUUCCUCCACCCAGCCCCACUUCCCACCCAGCCUCCUAUCUGCUAGUUCUCCUCUCCAGUGUCACAGACAACAGGUAAGCUGGACUGUCAACUUGCUUGGCUUGGGAUCCAACCAGAAAAGGACCAGCUUGAUGUGGUACAAGCAGGUAAUAACUAAUAAAUUGGCAUAAAAACAAAUUGAGAGGCCUCUGUCCUAGGCCUUCAUGAUUUGUGGUGAGGUCCCUAGCUGGCUCAGGGACAGAUUAAUCUUUAAGCCAGUGGCCAGAGCCAAGGCCAGCAAACAGCCUGUGAAGUUCUGGUGCCUCAAAGCAAGGUAACAUGGCAACUGAGGACUUUGAUUCAUGCAAA